CCUACGGGUGGCAGCAGUGAGGAAUAUUGGUCAAUGGGCGCGAGCCUGAACCAGCCAAGCAGCGUGAAUGAUGACUGCCCUACGGGUUGUAAACUUCUUUUAUAAAGGAAUAAAGUGAGGCACGUGUGCCUUUUUGUAUGUACUUUAUGAAUAAGGAUCGGCUAACCUCGUGCCAGCCGCCGCGGUAAUACGGAGGGUCCGGGCGUUAUCCGGAUUUAUGGGGUUUAAAGGGAGCGUAGAUGGGUUGUUAAGUUAGUUGUGAAAGUUUGCGGCUCAACCGUAAAAUUGCAAUUGAUACUGGCAGUCUUGAGUACAGUUGAGGUAGGUGGAAUGCGUGGUGUAGCGGUGAAAUGCGUAGAUAUCACGAAGAACUCCGAUUGCGAAGGCAGCUUACUAAACUGCCACUGACAUUGAUGCGCGAAAGUGUGGGUAUCAAACAGGAUUAGAUACCCCAGUAGUC
RNAcentral lists this ribosomal RNA (460 nucleotides) under uncultured bacterium. RNAcentral's name for it is "partial 16S ribosomal RNA". It matches the Rfam family "Bacterial small subunit ribosomal RNA", at positions 338 to 795 of the family's 1533-position model. The record is from RNAcentral.